This 272-nucleotide ribosomal RNA is filed under the name uncultured bacterium. RNAcentral's name for it is "partial 16S ribosomal RNA". It matches the Rfam family "Bacterial small subunit ribosomal RNA", at positions 524 to 796 of the family's 1533-position model. The record is from RNAcentral.
UACGUAGGUCCCGAGCGUUGUCCGGAUUUAUUGGGCGUAAAGCGAGCGCAGGCGGUUAGAUAAGUCUGAAGUUAAAGGCUGUGGCUUAACCAUAGUACGCUUUGGAAACUGUUUAACUUGAGUGCAAGAGGGGAGAGUGGAAUUCCAUGUGUAGCGGUGAAAUGCGUAGAUAUAUGGAGGAACACCGGUGGCGAAAGCGGCUCUCUGGCUUGUAACUGACGCUGAGGCUCGAAAGCGUGGGGAGCAAACAGGAUUAGAUACCCGUGUAGUCC